RNA transcript from Phyllostomus hastatus (greater spear-nosed bat), 2227 nucleotides. It is a transcript of the gene named MYST/Esa1 associated factor 6, with no coding region annotated. The transcript has 9 exons. Lineage: Eukaryota; Metazoa; Chordata; Mammalia; Chiroptera; Phyllostomidae. The record is from RefSeq and is a predicted model, not a curated record.
UCCGGCGCUGCAGCUGCCCGCCUGUGCCCAACAUGGCGAUGCAUAACAAGGCUGCGCCGCCGCAGAUCCCGGACACCCGGCGGGAGCUGGCGGAGCUCGUGAAGCGGAAGCAGGAGCUGGCGGAAACGCUGGCAAACUUGGAGAGACAGAUCUAUGCUUUUGAAGGAAGCUACCUGGAAGAUACUCAGAUGUACGGCAAUAUUAUUCGUGGCUGGGAUAGGUAUCUGACCAACCAAAAAAACUCCAACAGCAAAAACGAUCGAAGGAACCGGAAGUUUAAGGAAGCUGAGCGGCUCUUCAGUAAAUCCUCGGUUACUUCGGCAGCUGCAGUAAGUGCACUGGCAGGAGUUCAGGACCAGCUCAUUGAAAAGAGGGAGCCAGGAAGUGGGACGGAAAGUGACACUUCUCCAGACUUCCACAAUCAGGAGAAUGAGCCCAACCAGGAGGACCCUGAGGAUCUGGAUGGAUCUGUGCAGGGCGUGAAACCUCAGAAGGCUGCUUCUUCCACUUCCUCAGGGAGUCAUCACAGCAGCCAUAAAAAACGAAAGAAUAAAAACCGGCACAGCCCGUCUGGCAUGUUUGAUUAUGACUUUGAGUAUGUAUAUUAGGUUAGGCUGGGAAGUUUUUUUUAAAAACAGAAAAACGUGAUGGAGGAUUGAUCUGAAGUUAAACAAAAAACCACGAGCUGACUAUUAGAAGACUCACUAGUGCAGAAGCUUCCAGGCUGUAAGCCCCGCCUCCCUGCUCCGACCUCGCAGAGACACACCUCCCCUGCCCGCGUGCGUGUGCGUGGCCGUCCCGCUCUGCUCUCCCAGACCCAGCGCCUGUGACUCUGAGUCGUUCGUCCUGAAACGUGGUGACAAGUCCUGUCCGUAAGGCCACAUUGGAUCAUUCACGUUGUGUCAUUUUCAGUAACAGAACUGCAGGAAGACCGUGGCGUGGUUAUGGUCCCGGCAAGUUGCUAACUGAGUCUCUCCCUUCUCGGAACGAACGUCUGCCCCGGAGAUCGAUCCGCCGGCCUCAGCUCCCUCCGUGGUCCCCGUCGGGAAACGGCCUCUUUGGUUUUACGCUGGAAGUAGGGCAGCGGUCGCGGUUCAGACGGAGGCUAUAAACACCGGGCAUUUUCUUAUUUCGUUUGUGUUUUAUCAUUUUUCUAUUGUUGUUUUUACCAUUUCACUUUCUUUUGGGACUUUUUGUAAUGACUUUGUACAGCGCAUACCUUCCUGCUGACAUAUCUAACAGUCUGUUUCGCACAGUUGCCAAUGUCCUUGAACUGAAAGUAGUCUGGUUUGCCGUAAAUAAAAUGGGGAACUCGGCUCUUUGGGUUUGCGCAGGGGAAAGGUAAAGUGUUUAUUUAACAAUCACCUCCCUUAAACCUUUCUGAAUUGGAAGCAGUUUCCAUGUUGAAGGAAUAGAAAAAAACUGAAAAACAUAAGUUUUAAUCAGUCCUUUUAAAAUAUUUUUAUUCUUUUAUAUAAAUAAAGUAUCACAGGGUUUGAUUUCUCAUGCUUUACUUUUAAACCUGAGGGGUUUUUUUCACUUAUUUAUUCGUAUCAUGCCUUAUGGAAAUUUUUUUCUCCAUCUUAUCUCUCUUUGCUGGUAUUGCCUGAUUAAAUAGUGCUUAAAAAUCACUAAGGCAUAUGGAAAGGCUGGAAGUUGCACCCACAGCUGAUAACACGCGGAGUUCUUGAGCAGAGGGAAAGACAGGAUCAGUGAGAGCCAGCAGCACCCACCGCCCCUGGCCGUGUGGAAGAGCCGGGGAACUUGCUGAUAAUUGUUACCAGCCUCUGGAGUGGUGGUGCUCUGCCGCAGCUGCACAUUGGAAUCACCCGGGAAGCUUAAAAAAAAUACUGAUGCCUGGGUCCCACCCCCAGAGACUCUGGGCCAGGGUAUAGCCUGGUGAUGGGGAUUUCCUUUCAAAGACUCCCUGGGAUUCUGAUAGGAAGCCAAGUCAGGAAUUACUGCGCUGGGAGGCUGGCCAGUGCAGUUUGAACCCUGUGUUGUGAAUCAGUGUAAGGGAUGAGAUUUGGGGGCCUGGCCUUUCCUCUGACUCUAUUUAGUCAUAGUCCUUAUGCCUAUAUCUCUGUUAGAAAAACAUGUUCCAUUUGUGAUAAUAUUGGUAGAGCUGAAUGUGGGUGGCGUUGAUUAUCAAAACAAUUCUACCUUGUCUGUGCAAAAGCUUUCACUCUUGUUCUUAAAUAAACCUUUUCUUUUGCUUUUUUUUUUA